GCUAAUACCGCAUAAUGCCUACGGGCCAAAGAGGGGGACCUUCGGGCCUCUCGCGUCAAGAUAUGCCUAGGUGGGAUUAGCUAGUUGGUGAGGUAAUGGCUCACCAAGGCGACGAUCCCUAGCUGGUCUGAGAGGAUGAUCAGCCACACUGGAACUGAGACACGGUCCAGACUCCUACGGGAGGCAGCAGUGGGGAAUAUUGCACAAUGGGCGAAAGCCUGAUGCAGCCAUGCCGCGUGUAUGAAGAAGGCCUUCGGGUUGUAAAGUACUUUCAGUUGUGAGGAAGGGGGUGUCGUUAAUAGCGGCAUCUCUUGACGUUAGCAACAGAAGAAGCACCGGCUAACUCCGUGCCAGCAGCCGCGGUAAUACGGAGGGUGCGAGCGUUAAUCGGAAUUACUGGGCGUAAAGCGCAUGCAGGUGGUUCAUUAAGUCAGAUGUGAAAGCCCGGGGCUCAACCUCGGAACUGCAUUUGAAACUGGUGAACUAGAGUACCGUAGAGGGGGGUAGAAUUUCAGGUGUAGCGGUGAAAUGCGUAGAGAUCUGAAGGAAUACCAGUGGCGAAGGCGGCCCCCUGGA
RNAcentral lists this ribosomal RNA (576 nucleotides) under uncultured Vibrio sp. RNAcentral describes it as "bacterial SSU rRNA". It matches the Rfam family "Bacterial small subunit ribosomal RNA", at positions 162 to 733 of the family's 1533-position model. The record is from RNAcentral. Lineage: Bacteria; Pseudomonadati; Pseudomonadota; Gammaproteobacteria; Vibrionales; Vibrionaceae.